UGCCAGCAGCCGCGGUAAUACGGAGAGGGCAAGCGUUGUUCGGAAUCACUGGGCAUAAAGCGCACGCAGGCGGAUUGGAAAGUCGGUUGUGAAAGCCCUGGGCUCAACCUGGGAACUGCAUCUGAUACUGCUGAACUCGAGUACGGUAGAGGGUAGUGGAAUUUCCUGUGUAGCGGUGAAAUGCGUAGAUAUAGGAAGGAACACCAGCGGCGAAGGCGGCUUUCUGGACCGAUACUGACGCUGAGACGCGAAAGCGUGGGGAGCAAACAGGAUUAGAUA
RNAcentral lists this ribosomal RNA (279 nucleotides) under uncultured bacterium. RNAcentral's name for it is "partial 16S ribosomal RNA". It matches the Rfam family "Bacterial small subunit ribosomal RNA", at positions 506 to 784 of the family's 1533-position model. The record is from RNAcentral.